GGAGGGAUAACUCAGUGGUAGAGCACAUGGUUAGCAGGCAUGAGGUCCUGGGUUCAAUUCUCAGUACUUCCA
This 72-nucleotide transfer RNA is filed under the name Camelus bactrianus (Bactrian camel). It matches the Rfam family "tRNA". Rfam says of the family: Transfer RNA (tRNA) molecules are approximately 80 nucleotides in length. Their secondary structure includes four short double-helical elements and three loops (D, anti-codon, and T loops). The record is from Rfam by way of RNAcentral. Lineage: Eukaryota; Metazoa; Chordata; Mammalia; Artiodactyla; Camelidae. RNAcentral also lists the same sequence under 3 other names.